Molecule: ribosomal RNA, 253 nt
Filed under: uncultured bacterium
Lineage: Bacteria
Description: partial 16S ribosomal RNA
Rfam family: Bacterial small subunit ribosomal RNA
Source: RNAcentral
UACGUAGGCAGCAAGCGUUGUUCGGAGUUACUGGGCGUAAAGGGCGUGUAGGCGGCCUUAUAAGUCAGAUGUGAAAGCCCCGAGCUUAACUUGGGAAUUGCAUUUGAGACUGUAGGGCCAGAGUGCGAGAGAGGAAAGUGGAAUUACGAGUGUAGAGGUGAAAUUCGUAGAUAUUCGUAAGAACACCAGUGGCGAAGGCGACUUUCUGGCUCGCAACUGACGCUAAGGCGCGAAAGCGUGGGGAGCAAACAGG